CAGGCCUAACACAUGCAAGUCGAGCGGAUGUACGGGAGCUUGCUCCUUGAUUCAGCGGCGGACGGGUGAGUAAUGCCUAGGAAUCUGCCUGGUAGUGGGGGACAACGUUUCGAAAGGAACGCUAAUACCGCAUACGUCCUACGGGAGAAAGCAGGGGACCUUCGGGCCUUGCGCUAUUAGAUGAGCCUAGGUCGGAUUAGCUAGUUGGUGGGGUAAUGGCUCACCAAGGCGACGAUCCGUAACUGGUCUGAGAGGAUGAUCAGUCACACUGGAACUGAGACACGGUCCAGACUCCUACGGAAGGCAGCAGUGGGGAAUAUUGGACAAUGGGCGAAAGCCUGAUCCAGCCAUGCCGCGUGUGUGAAGAAGGUCUUCGGAUUGUAAAGCACUUUAAGUUGGGAGGAAGGGCAGUAAGCUAAUACCUUGCUGUUUUGACGUUACCGACAGAAUAAGCACCGGCUAACUCUGUGCCAGCAGCCGCGGUAAU
RNAcentral lists this ribosomal RNA (487 nucleotides) under uncultured bacterium. Its description in RNAcentral is "bacterial SSU rRNA". It matches the Rfam family "Bacterial small subunit ribosomal RNA", at positions 43 to 524 of the family's 1533-position model. The record is from RNAcentral.